UUCUAAGUGUUCAACUUUGAUUGGACCGAGCAGGCUGGCCCCUCCGCGCUCGCAGCGUUUCCAUUCUAUUUUCUCCUUGAAUAUUAUCCACUGUCGGCACUUGAUCGGCAUCACCAUCACCAUUCUGAAGCCCACUAAUUAUUUGUGGCCCCUCUCGUAAUCCCCUCUCCUCUCCGCCAUGAAUAUGAUGCCGACGCUGUGUAACUGCGGCUGAGUCUCAAAUCUCAAUAGCUCCGAAAGGCCCAAAGCUGUGCUUGGAUCAAACAAGUCCCUUCGCUUCUCAAGGAAAGCUGAUGGCUGACAACAACACGAAACAACCUUUGUUACCGAUUCUGGUUGAUCCUCCGAAACAGGCGCAGAAGAAGCCCACAUCAAAGUCUAGAAGAUUUCGCCGUUGUAGAAGUGCCCCCUCAGCAGAUAUCUUAUUAAAAUCAAUUGAUGCCGGUGGCUCGUUUCCAGGUUCCAAGUUAAUUUUUGGUCAAUUCCGACCAAGUUUUAGGCAAGUUGCUUUAUUCCUAGUUGUCUACCUGGGAAUAGGUGCUCUCUGCUUUUAUCUUGUGAAGGAUCAACUGAUGGGUAAGAAAACGAAUGGAAUCCUUGACGCCGUGUAUUUCUGCAUCGUGACAAUGACAACAGUUGGCUACGGGGAUCUUGUUCCUAACAGCGACACAGCAAAGCUUUUGGCUUGUGCUUUUGUGUUUGUCGGCAUGGCAAUUGUUGCUCUCCUCUUGAAUAAAGCAGCUGAUUAUAUUGUUGAGAAGCAAGAAGUAUUGCUUUUUAAAGCAUUGCAUAUGCGUCUCAAGGGUGGUGAGGCUCAACAGAUAAGAGAGAUUGAGACAAACAGGAUAAAAUACAAAUUUUACACAACUUUGUUGUUUCUAGUAAUGCUUAUCGUCGCUGGGACUGUAUUUCUUUGGAAAGUUGAGAAGCUAAACCUUGUCGAUGCAUUCUAUUGUGUUUGUGCAACCAUUACAACGUUGGGUUAUGGGGACAAAAGCUUUUCAACUGAAGGAGGUCGUGUUUUUGCUGUGUUUUGGAUAGUGACAAGUACUCUUUGUGUAGCUCAGUUCUUCUUUUGUCUUGCUGAGUUGAAUGCCGAGUAUCGACAGAAAUUGCUAGCCAAAUGGGUGCUUACUCGGAGGAUGACAUACGUUGAUCUUGAAGAGGCAGAUCUAGAUGGCGACCAUGAAGUGGGUGCUGCUGAGUUCAUUAUCUACAAGCUGAAAGAGAUGGGGAAGAUCAGCCAAGAGGAUAUAGCGGAAGUAAUGGAGGAGUUUGAAGAACUUGAUGUUGACCAAUCUGGUACAUUGUCGCUACACGAUAUCACUGUUGCUCAAUCUACGGAGUAAGCCACGAGGGAGAUGGCUUCUCUUUGGUAAAUCUGCUUUUGUGCUGUUACAUUUUUAUAUGUGUAGCUACUAGCUAGUGAAGUUUGUUGCUUUGCAAAUGGAUUUCCAGUUGAUUAUACUUUAUCUUCUUCUUCUUUUUUUUGAGAAUAAGAUAAGCAUACCACCGCUUCAUUCAAAGAGGAGGUGAAUUAAGCAACAAAAAAAAGCGAUGUGCAAGGAGCUUAGUAGUAACGAGAGGCACGUACCUAACCAACAGCAUAUGUGUUGCAAAGACCGUAUCUUCAGCUAGUGACUGAGGCCAAUGCAAGCCUUUUCUAUUAACUUAUGAACUGUCCCAUCCGGUAGGAAGAAAUCCGGAAAUAUUUAUCUGUAUAUAACUUUGAUGUAACUAUAUGUGUCAAGGGAUUUGUAACCCUUUUUACUGUGCUUGCAGGUAUAUAAAUGAGAUAUUUUAUUGUUUUUUUUAAAAAAA
RNA transcript from Ananas comosus (pineapple), 1821 nucleotides. It is a transcript of the gene named two pore potassium channel a, with no coding region annotated. The record is from RefSeq and is a predicted model, not a curated record. The transcript has 4 exons. NCBI's taxonomy places the organism in Eukaryota, Viridiplantae, Streptophyta, Magnoliopsida, Poales, Bromeliaceae.